GAAGGCGGCCUUCUGGACAGUACUGACGCUGAGAUGCGAAAGCGUGGGGAGCAAACAGGAUUAGAUACCCUGGUAGUCCACGCUGUAAACGAUGUCGAUUUGGAGUUUGUUGCCUAGAGUGAUGGGCUCCGAAGCUAACGCGAUAAAUCGACCGCCUGGGGAGUACGGCCGCAAGGUUAAAACUCAAAUGAAUUGACGGGGGCCCGCACAAGCGGUGGAGCAUGUGGUUUAAUUCGAUGCAACGCGAAGAACCUUACCUGGUCUUGACAUCCAUAGAAUUCUGCAGAGAUGUGGGAGUGCCUUCGGGAACUAUGAGACAGGUGCUGCAUGGCUGUCGUCAGCUCGUGUUGUGAAAUGUUGGGUUAAGUCCCGCAACGAGCGCAACCCUUAUUCUUUGUUGCCAGCGAUUUGGUCGGGAACUCAAAGGAGACUGCCGUUGAUAAAGCGGAGGAAGGUGGGGACGACGUCAAGUCAUCAUGGCCCUUACGACCAGGGCUACACACGUGCUACAAUGGCGUAUACAAAGGGAAGCGAAGGUGCGAGCUGGAGCGGAUCUCAUAAAGUACGUCUAAGUUCGGAUUGGAGUCUGCAACUCGACUCCAUGAAGUCGGAAUCGCUAGUAAUCGUAGAUCAGAAUGCUACGGUGAAUACGUUCCCGGGCCUUGUACACACCGCCCGUCACACCAUGGGAGUGGGUUGCACCAGAAGUAGAUAGCUUAACCGCGAGGGGGGCGUUUACCACGGUGUGAUUCAUGACUGGGGUGAAGUCGUAACAAGGUAACCA
This 784-nucleotide ribosomal RNA is filed under the name uncultured Enterobacteriaceae bacterium. Its description in RNAcentral is "bacterial SSU rRNA". It matches the Rfam family "Bacterial small subunit ribosomal RNA", at positions 717 to 1502 of the family's 1533-position model. Lineage: Bacteria; Pseudomonadati; Pseudomonadota; Gammaproteobacteria; Enterobacterales; Enterobacteriaceae. The record is from RNAcentral.